CAGAUAAAGAAAUUGAGGAGCUAUUGAGUACCCUGCCAGUUAAUGAUGAUGGAAAGGUCGACCUCAAAGAAGUUAUCGAUAAUGCAAAAACUAUUCAAGAAAAUGUUGAUGUUCAAAACCUGGAAGACUUUCUGAAGAACAUGGGGGUCAAACUCACAAAAGAGGAACAGA
Gracilinanus agilis (Agile Gracile Mouse Opossum) is the source of this 171-nucleotide long non-coding RNA. RefSeq lists it as uncharacterized. The transcript is spliced from 3 exons. NCBI's taxonomy places the organism in Eukaryota, Metazoa, Chordata, Mammalia, Didelphimorphia, Didelphidae. The record is from RefSeq and is a predicted model, not a curated record.